RNAcentral lists this ribosomal RNA (378 nucleotides) under uncultured bacterium. Its description in RNAcentral is "bacterial SSU rRNA". It matches the Rfam family "Bacterial small subunit ribosomal RNA", at positions 426 to 796 of the family's 1533-position model. The record is from RNAcentral.
GNAACUGCUUUUUGUCGGAACGAAAAGGCCCUGGUGAACAACCGGGGUUGCUGACGGUACCGUAAGAAUAAGCUCCGGCUAACUACGUGCCAGCAGCCGCGGUAAUACGUAGGGUGCGAGCGUUAAUCGGGAUUACUGGGCGUAAAGCGUGCGCAGGCGGACAUGCAAGACAGAUGUGAAAUCCCCGGGCUCAACCUGGGAACUGCAUAUGUGACUGUAUGACUGGAGUACGGCAGAGGGGGAUGGAAUUCCGCGUGUAGCAGUGAAAUGCGUAGAUAUGCGGAGGAACACCGAUGGCGAAGGCAAUCCCCUGGGCCAGUACUGACGCUCAUGCACGAAAGCGUGGGGAGCAAACAGGAUUAGAUACCCUGGUAGUCC